This 1342-nucleotide long non-coding RNA is filed under the name Actinidia chinensis (golden kiwifruit). RNAcentral's name for it is "long non-coding RNA (ACHI_LNC000773)". The record is from RNAcentral. Lineage: Eukaryota; Viridiplantae; Streptophyta; Magnoliopsida; Ericales; Actinidiaceae.
ACUCCAUACUACCCUAUUGGAGGCUACUUCUAGCCGCUGGUGAUGGUCCCCGUGGCGAUGCGCACGAUAGCCACAGCCACACCAUCGUUAACAAAGUGCCUUCCUCUUCUUCUUUAGUUUCUGCUAGAAAACUCGCAGCUAAUCUUUGGGAGCUUCAUCAGUACCGACUGCCUCUGUCUAAAAUGCACCACGGGGGUAAUGGUCUCCCUCCCAGGCUUCGCCGCCUUCACCACCACCACCACCACCAAGUCCCUGAUCCCUCCCCUAGUUCCCCUGACCUGGUAAAAUUACCCAUCAUACCCUCAGAAAUACGUAAUUGGGGUUGUAUUUAUGAAUAGAAAAUGUAGAUUGAUGUUCUUUUGUGAAUUUUGAUCAAUUGGGUUUUUUGUAAUUGUGUUUUUUCGUGAUGGGUUUAGUUUGUUUUCAAUUUUUUGUGGUUCUUUGUUCUUCUUUUCUGUAAGUUAUGUAUUUUGAUGAUGGUUUCUUUCCUAUAUGUAUAUUCAUUUUCUUUGGUUUUUUUUUUUUUUGAUCAAUUGGGGUUCUGUAAUUGUGGUUUUUCCAGAUGGGUUACUUCGUUUUUAAUAUUUUAUUGUUCUUUCUUCUUCUUUCUAUAAGGUUAUUUAUUUUUGAUGAAGGGUUCCUAUGUAUGUUCAUGUUCUUUUGGGGGUUUUGAUGGACAGGGUUUUUAUAAUUGUGGUUUGUCCUGAUGGGUUUAGUUUGUUUUUCUUGAUAUUUGUUCUGGUUUUUUCUACAAGGUUAGGUGUUUGGAUGAUGGGUUUUUGUGGAUUCCUUUUUUAGCCUCAAUCAAUUGUUAGUUUUAUGUCAUUAUUACUAAUACAACUUUUAUAUUCAUGUUCUUUGGUUGUUUUGAUCAAGUGGGUUUAGUAAUUGUGGUUUUUCCUGAUGGGUUUGGUUCGUUUUUAAUUUUUUAUUGUUCUUUGCUCUUCUAUUCUAUUAGGUUUUGGAUUCUGAUGAUGGGUUUUCUGUUGGUUCCUUUUUUAUUCCUCAAUUAAAUGUUGGUUUAUGUCAUGGUUUCUAAUACAACAUGUAAGUUCAUCUUCUUUUGGGCGUUUUUGGAAUCAAUUGGGUUCUUGCAAUUGUGGUUUCUCUGAGUGGCUAGUUUGUUUGUCUUGUUCCUUGCUGUUUCUUUCUGUUUAUGUGUUUCCACAUGAUAGUUUUUUUUUUGUGGUUACUUUUUGGUAUGAUCUGACUGAACUUGUUUUUUUGAAGACAAAUUCGUAAUUCUCGUCGCAUUUUAGAAUUUUCAAAGCCUUUUCAGUUAGAAGUUUUAUAUUUGUUGCGACUUAUGUACGCUAAUUUCCUCCCCCGCAGCCAGGGAGUG